CCUACGGGUGUCAGCAGUGGGGAAUAUUGCACAAUGGGGGAAACCCUGAUGCAGCGACGCCGCGUGAGUGAAGAAGUAAUUCGUUACGUAAAGCUCUAUCAGCAGGGAAGAAAAUGACGGUACCUGAGCAAGAAGCCCCGGCUAACUACGUGCCAGCAGCCGCGGUAAUACGUAGGGGGCAAGCGGUAUCCGGAUUUACUGGGUGUAAAGGGAGCGUAGACGGUUCGCCAAGUCUAGCGUGAAAUGCCGGAGCUUAACGGCGGAACUGCUUUGGAAACUGGCUAACUAGAGUGCGGGAGGGGUGAGCGGAAUUCCUAGUGUAGCAGUGAAAUGCGUAGAUAUUAGGAGGAACACCAGUGGCGAAGGCGACUAACUGGACCGUAACUGACGUUGAGGAUCGAAAGCGUGGGGAGCAAACAGGAUUAGAUACCCGAGUAGUC
RNAcentral lists this ribosomal RNA (440 nucleotides) under uncultured bacterium. RNAcentral describes it as "partial 16S ribosomal RNA". It matches the Rfam family "Bacterial small subunit ribosomal RNA", at positions 338 to 795 of the family's 1533-position model. The record is from RNAcentral.